AGCAGCCGCGGUAAUUCCAGCUCCAAUAGCGUAUAUUAAAGUUGCUGCAGUUAAAAAGCUCGUAGUUGAAUUUCGGGACUAAUAUGUCGGUCGUGCCUCAGUACGUACUGGUUUAUUGGUUUCUCCUUUCUGAAGAACCAUGAUGUCAUUUAUUUGGUGUCGUGGGGAAUCAGGACUGUUACUUUGAAAAAUUAGAGUGUUUAAAGCAGGCUCACGCUUGAAUACAUUAGCAUGGAAUAAUGAAAUAGGACGUUUGAUUCUAUUUUGUUGGUUUCUAGGAUUGACGUAAUGAUUAAUAGGGAUAGUUGGGGGCAUUAGUAUUCAAUUGUCAGAGGUGAAAUUCUUGGAUUUAUUGAAGACUAACUACUGCGAAAGCAUUUGCCAAGGAUGUUUUCAUUAAUCAAGAACGAAAGUUAGGGGAUCGAAGACGAUCAGAUACCGUCGUAGUCUUAACCAUAAACUAUGCCGACUAGGGAUCGGAUGAUGUUAAUUUUUAAUGACUCAUUCGCGCCUUACGGGA
This 520-nucleotide ribosomal RNA is filed under the name uncultured Glomus. Its description in RNAcentral is "SSU rRNA". It matches the Rfam family "Eukaryotic small subunit ribosomal RNA", at positions 569 to 1095 of the family's 1831-position model. The record is from RNAcentral. Lineage: Eukaryota; Fungi; Glomeromycota; Glomeromycetes; Glomerales; Glomeraceae.